Molecule: ribosomal RNA, 423 nt
Filed under: uncultured microorganism
Description: bacterial SSU rRNA
Rfam family: Bacterial small subunit ribosomal RNA
Source: RNAcentral
GAGUUUGAUCCUGGCUCAGAACGAACGCUAUCGGUAUGCUUAACACAUGCAAGUCGAACGGACUAAUUGGGGCUUGCUCCAAUUAGUUAGUGGCAGACGGGUGAGUAACACGUGGGAAUCUACCCAUCAGUACGGAAUAACUUUUAGAAUUAAAAGCUAAAUACCGUAUAUUCUCUACGGAAGAGAGAUUUAUCGCUGAUGGAUGAGCCCGCGUCAGAUUAGGUCGUUGGUGAGGUAACGGCUCACCAAGCCGACGAUCUGUAGCUGGUCUGAGAGGAUGAUCAGCCACACUGGGACUGAGACACGGCCCAGACUCCUACGGGAGGCAGCAGUGGGGAAUAUUGGACAAUGGGCGAAGGCCUGAUCCAGCAAUACCGAGUGAGUGAUGAAGGCCUUAGGGUUGUAAAGCUCUUUUAGCUAAGG